UACGAAGGGGGCUAGCGUUGUUCGGAAUUACUGGGCGUAAAGGGCGCGUAGGCGGUGUGUCAAGUCAGGCGUGAAAGCCCCGGGCUCAACCUGGGAACAGCGCUUGAGACUGGCACGCUCGAGUUCGGGAGAGGAUGGUGGAAUUCCCAGUGUAGAGGUGAAAUUCGUAGAUAUUGGGAAGAACACCGGUGGCGAAGGCGGCUCACUGGCUCGUAACUGACGCUCAUGCACGACAGCGUGGGGAUCAAACAGG
RNAcentral lists this ribosomal RNA (253 nucleotides) under uncultured bacterium. Its description in RNAcentral is "partial 16S ribosomal RNA". It matches the Rfam family "Bacterial small subunit ribosomal RNA", at positions 524 to 776 of the family's 1533-position model. The record is from RNAcentral.